Molecule: long non-coding RNA, 187 nt
Organism: Leopardus geoffroyi (Geoffroy's cat)
Lineage: Eukaryota; Metazoa; Chordata; Mammalia; Carnivora; Felidae
Exons: 3
Source: RefSeq, a predicted model, not a curated record
GGAAUUAUCCCAGGCAUCCCAGAUUCUGCCUGUAGAGCAACCAAGGCUGGCAUUUGAGCAAGGGGGUGAGGGGGGUAUGGGUGGCUACUGGCCCUAGGGGUUGACCCUAAAGAAUAUCUGGGCAGUCUGCCAUCCAAUUGCUCCAAAAUGAAAAUCCUCUAAAAGAAGUGACUCUGGGAGAUAGGAA